CGGGGCGUAGCUCAGCUUGGUCCAGAGCACUUGCUUGGGGUGCAAGUGGUCGGAGGUUCGAAUCCUCUCGCCCCGA
Molecule: transfer RNA, 76 nt
Filed under: Deltaproteobacteria bacterium CG11_big_fil_rev_8_21_14_0_20_49_13
Lineage: Bacteria; Deltaproteobacteria
Description: tRNA-Pro
Rfam family: tRNA
About the family: Transfer RNA (tRNA) molecules are approximately 80 nucleotides in length. Their secondary structure includes four short double-helical elements and three loops (D, anti-codon, and T loops).
Source: RNAcentral